This 1043-nucleotide ribosomal RNA is filed under the name Meyerozyma carpophila. RNAcentral's name for it is "SSU rRNA". It matches the Rfam family "Eukaryotic small subunit ribosomal RNA", at positions 67 to 1115 of the family's 1831-position model. The record is from RNAcentral. Lineage: Eukaryota; Fungi; Ascomycota; Pichiomycetes; Serinales; Debaryomycetaceae.
AAGCAAUUUAUACAGUGAACUCGAAUGGCUCAUUAAAUCAGUUAUCGUUUAUUUGAUAGUACCUUUACUACUUGGAAUAACCGUGGUAAUUCUAGAGCUAAUACAUGCUACAAAAUCCCGACUGUUUGGAAGGGAUGUAUUUAUUAGAUAAAAAAUCAAUGCUCUUUGAGCUCUUUAGAUGAUUCAUAAUAACUUUUCGAAUCGCAUGGCCUUGUGCUGGCGAUGGUUCAUUCAAAUUUCUGCCCUAUCAACUUUCGAUGGUAGGAUAGUGGCCUACCAUGGUUUCAACGGGUAACGGGGAAUAAGGGUUCGAUUCCGGANNNNNNNNNNNAGAAACGGCUACCACAUCCAAGGAAGGCAGCAGGCGCGCAAAUUACCCAAUCCCGACACAGGGGAGGUAGUGACAAUACAUAACGAUACAGGGCCCUUUCGGGUCUUGUAAUUGGAAUGAGUACAAUGUAAAUACCUUAACGAGGAACAAUUGGAGGGCAAGUCUGGUGCCACCAGCCGCGGUAAUUCCAGCUCCAAUAGCGUAUAUUAAAGUUGUUGCAGUUAAAAAGCUCGUAGUUGAACUUUGGGCUUGGUUGGCCGGUCCGCCUUUUUGGCGAGUACUGGACCCAACCGAGCCUUUCCUUCUGGCUAACCAUUCGCCCUUGUGGUGUUUGGCGAACCAGGACUUUUACUUUGAAAAAAUUAGAGUGUUCAAAGCAGGCACUUUGCUCGAAUAUAUUAGCAUGGAAUAAUAGAAUAGGACGUUAUGGUUCUAUUUUGUUGGUUUCUAGGACCAUCGUAAUGAUUAAUAGGGACGGUCGGGGGCAUCAGUAUUCAGUUGUCAGAGGUGAAAUUCUUAGAUUUACUGAAGACUAACUACUGCGAAAGCAUUUGCCAAGGACGUUUUCAUUAAUCAAGAACGAAAGUUAGGGGAUCGAAGAUGAUCAGAUACCGUCGUAGUCUUAACCAUAAACUAUGCCGACUAGGGAUCGGGUGUUGUUCUUUUUUUGACGCACUCGGCACCUUACGAGAAAUCAAAGUCUUUGGGUUCA